This 812-nucleotide long non-coding RNA is filed under the name Musa acuminata (dwarf banana). Its description in RNAcentral is "long non-coding RNA (MACU_LNC005936)". The record is from RNAcentral. Lineage: Eukaryota; Viridiplantae; Streptophyta; Magnoliopsida; Zingiberales; Musaceae.
UAUGUUCUAUGUACUUCACUAUAUAACUCCUACAGCUGCCUUGUAGUUCUUGAUUUUGUUUUAACAGUUCCCAUCAUACUUUGGUAAGACAUCCACCUGCAUAGUCAUGAAUGGUGUUUUGAGAUUAAAGUUCAACAAGGCACCACAAAAGUAACUAAUUUUCCCAACUAUGACACUAGCGACUAAUGAGAUUGGUAAAUUGUUUCUUAUGAUCAUACAUGAUGCAUUAUUAUGAGUGAUGUUAAGUCGUGCUUCUAAACUAUUUUGUACUUUCACAACAUUAACUCAUAUCUUUAUUACUAAUUUCUUUAGAUGGCUUACUUCAAUUAUUGUAUAGUAAAUCUUAAUGUAUUAUUAAAACCUCAUUUUCCUCAACUGGAUCCAAAAAUUUAUCCCAUAAUGUUUGCUUAAUUAAACAACAGCAAUGUCACAUCAGUUUUGUGUCUUUCUGAUGCCAUUUUCACUUUCUUGACCAUAACAUCUGUAUUGUCACCAAGAAUUGCCAUUAGAGUUGCUGGUGGUGUUUUAGCCAUCAAUCUGAGCACUAUGGCAUACUGGUGUGAUUUGAUACGUACAAUAAUAGAAAAAAUAAACAAAGAAAUGAAAUGGAGGUAAAAAGUAUGAAGAAACAAUGGAACGUAGUGAAAAGAGAAAAAAGGUGUUUCUGUUCUUCUCACAGCUCCAUUUUCAAGCCGACUCCAGGAGACAGAUUCCCAAUUAAAUGAUCAAGAAAGCAGUUUUCAUUUGCUCAACCAUAUAUAACAUGUGGUAAUUUCUGAAAACUAUAUUCCGUACCCAAUGCUACCUGUCAC